GGGGUUUGAUGGUAGUCAUUCAAGUAGAAUAUUUCGGUUUGGGUGGAAGUACACUUCGUCCGGACCCAAAAUGCGUUCAAAGGCAAGAAUUUAUCAAAAUUAUUGAUGAUUAUACACCUCAUUGUGUUUUUCUUCAAAUUGGAGGCAAUGAUUUAUCCGCUGAAUCAAAUCUCGCUAGAUUAGCAAGAGAUAUAAUAGUUUUUGCCGAUUAC
Molecule: long non-coding RNA, 212 nt
Filed under: Mytilus galloprovincialis (Mediterranean mussel)
Lineage: Eukaryota; Metazoa; Mollusca; Bivalvia; Mytilida; Mytilidae
Source: RNAcentral